CUUGACAUUAGUUCAAUUGAUGAGGGCGAGUCCAAAAAUAAGUUAGGAUUAUGAUAAACAAAAGGUCCACUUCUCGUUCAUUGUAACAAAAGAAUUUCAGCCAGCAUAAAUAAUUUGGGUUCCAUAUACAUACAUCUAUUGAUGAAAUAUUAAAAAUUCCAGCAAUUAAAUGUAGAUUUUGAAUUUUAAUCAUGUACAUACAAAAGGUAUAUAUAUAUAUAUAUAUAUUUUUUCUUCUAACAAAAGGUGCUUGGGCGCCAAAAAUUUUCGUGACACCAAAAAUCCCACUGGCACAAAUUGUUGUGGGCAGCAAAAGACGAGAGUUUGAAGGCAUACACAUAUCAUGUGUCCAGAACGGAGUUUGAAGGUCUGCAAAUUCACAGCAUAUAUUUUUCUCUUUCUCAGGAUGCUUCCUCCGGUGUUACAAAAUACACAAUGGUUGGCUUGCAAUUGAGAGGAUAAUUUUAAGUUCAAACUAUAUUUGAUGGGGUGCGCCAGGCUCAUGCAGUAGUGCAACGCUUGAGCAACGCGCAAGAGUCCCAAUAGCAAGCUACUGUGGUGGACCCUCCUCCUAAAAAAAUUAAUUUAAUAUCAUGUGAACCAUUGGUCCACGUAUCAGAUAUUAAACUGAUAAGAACAGAUACUACACUUGAUCUUAGCCAAAAG
This 666-nucleotide long non-coding RNA is filed under the name Prunus dulcis (almond). RNAcentral describes it as "sRNA ncRNA". Lineage: Eukaryota; Viridiplantae; Streptophyta; Magnoliopsida; Rosales; Rosaceae. The record is from RNAcentral.